UAGCCCGGUCGGUUUGAAAACUUAUGGGGACCUUCGGUAGCCAUUUCUUUUUUGUUUACCAUAUUUUCCACAUGGGUUUACAUGGGAAAGUUUAAGUCUGCAAGGGUUACUUUUUCAAAGGGGAAAUGCAAGCAAAACACCAUGCUGUACACCCUCUUCCUUCUGAGGGUCAUGAAAGUUUAAAUGAUGAUUGUACAAUACAAAACAAUUCAACUACAUCAUCACAUACAGAUCGAGACAGGAGGAACAUACAGUAGUUUUCUACAGAGUCAAGAGGAACACCGUUAACUACAGAGACAAUGUGGAAAUGGAGGACAGCGCAAAGGUUACAACAUUAAUACACAUGGAAAGAACAAAGAUGUUUAUAGUUUUAUGUAUAGUUUAUUUUUAAGAGCUUGUUAACCAAAUUUGUAACCCAGCUGUGUUUUUAUUGUCUCAAAUCUUCUUGACUAUUUUCACAAUAAAAUAAAAAGUACUUUAUUCAUCCCCAAGCUGAUCAAUUUAAGCCUGAUGCAAAAAAGUGUGGGGUGACAAAACUUAUAACUUAUACGUUAUAACGUGAUAUAUAAGUGAGGAGACACAUUAUUUGUAAGUGUCUUUAUUAUGAAUAUUGGCACUUCAUUUUAUGUAAAUAUUUACAACUCUGAAAGGCCAAAUUAAUAGAAUAAAUUGAAUAGAA
This is a long non-coding RNA of Lepisosteus oculatus (spotted gar), 679 nucleotides long. RefSeq lists it as uncharacterized. The record is from RefSeq and is a predicted model, not a curated record. NCBI's taxonomy places the organism in Eukaryota, Metazoa, Chordata, Actinopteri, Semionotiformes, Lepisosteidae.